GACCAAUUAGGGUUUCAAUGUCAAUUUCAAGUUGGGAAACUUAGUCGAUUUUUGAGAAAACCAUCUAUUGCAUCCAGCCAUUUGAUCAGUUGGGGUUUUGACCCGUGCUUCACUGAAAAAAUUUGGUCAACGAAUUCCAAUCUCUUCGAUAGGAAGUUCGUCAAGGUCAAACCUGUGCGUUUUUGCAAAUUCUUGUAUCGAUCAAAAGUGAUCAAUCCCUUUGGACGAUGUCCUCAUUUUGACAAACGUCUCUUCUCACUCUAAUUGACCAAAUUUUUCAAAAAUUAUUUCUCACUCAAUGAGUUGAUCAGAUUCAUCAGGUAUUGUAUAGUGCCUAUCCUAGAGGAUUGCAUUUUCAUGCUAGGCCUACCCUUGCACAAAAAGGGUCCCCCAUAGGACAUGCAUACCGGUUUUAUAUUCUUGUUUACUAACUCUGGGUAUUUUUCUUUGUUUUCCCCCUCCCCUGCAUUCAUAAAAAACACUUCAAUAAAAGGGAAAAUAUUUUUCUAUAUCUGAUGACACUUCUGAUCUAAUAAGGUGUCAAAAUUGCAAGUAUUGUGUGAUUCUUGGCAGAUCCUACAAUGAAAAAUAAAGAUCUAUCUGGAAGCUCUACGCUAAAAGCAUCUGAGAGAUUUUGUAAUUAUUUCUAAAGGAAAAUUUUGUAUAUUUGAUUUGUUAAUACAUUUUGUUCCAAAGAGAAAGGAGACAAAAAGUGUAUAUGUGGAGCUCUUUACAAGUUUCUCUCUUUUCAUUUGUAUCAUAAUUGAGAGAAUUUUGUUUCAAACUUUUUCAGCAAUAAAAUUUUUGGAAAUUAUUGUUUUGUGUAUAUUUAUGUACAUUUCAUUCUUUAUUCUUACUCAUUGGAGAUUUCAUGAUGAAUUUUGAAAAAUAAAACUAAAUUGAGAUUUUUUCAACCUCCAGCCUGAAAAUUCACAAGUAUAUGCUUCCUAAAAUCCUUACACUCGAUUGGCAUCCGAGCUGUACAAUAAAAGUGCUCAAAAAUAAGAGAGGUCCUUCAAAAGGCCCAAUGAGAUACCUUUUCUCCUUCGCUGAACAAUUCAUGUUUUGCCACUUCUAUUGACCCCAUUGGGGCAACUUUACUUGGAAAAAUGUCCAUGUGUCUAAUUAGACUCAAAUCACAUCUAAGUGAAAGCGAAAGGGUGCAUUAUUCUUAUUUGUUUUGAAAAUUUGGAAUGAUACUUUGACAUUCGUUUCUCUACCCAUACAGAUUUUAUCAUUUGCUCUCCCGUUUGAGCCUUUAAAAGAAUAACUUCGUUUCAAAUAAGCGCCUUGAUGAUCACAACCCUACAUGGGAAAAUUUUCGAAUAUCAAAAGGGGAAUGGAUUCUCAAUGAGCAUUUCUUUACUUUGGUUGUCAUGAAGCAUAAGAAUGAUGCUUUGGCCAUCGUUUCUACCACUAAACACUGCUUUACCCUUGCAUCCUCAUUUGAGCCAAAAUUGCUGGUUCUUUUCAAAGCACUUAUGAUCGCCCCCACACUGGGGAAGAUUGGAGAAUUUUCCAAAAGAAGAGAAAAGCCAAAAUGCUAAGGCUAAAAGGGAGACAACCGCAAAUUGGAAAUUUGAUUCCACUUGGGUUCCAAUGUUGAAGAAAGAAAAGGAAGAAUUUCAUCUGGCAGAUCAUCUAUGCUUCACAGGCGUCUUCCUCAGUCAAUUAAUUCAAAUACAUGCGAGAAAUUUCGUCAUUAAAGAAAGUUUCCUUUCAGAGUUAAUGUAAAGAACGGAUAAAGGUCAGGCCCUCUUCUUUUCCAAGCGAACAUUCUAUCCUUAGUUAUCCCUUUUGAGCCUUCAGAAUGAAUUAUUUCGUUUGGCAACCCCUGAGAAUUGCAAACCCACUGGGGCAAGUUUGAGUUGAAAAAAAAUUUCAAGAAGUGAAAAGUGAAAAGCCACAAAAUCAAAAGACAAAAGAAAAGAGAACCUCAGUUCAAAAAUAAACUGGGGCAAAUUUUGUGAAAGUUCAAAGAAGGUAAAAGGCCGAAAAAUCAAAAGAAGAAAGAAAAUGAAAGAGAAAAGCCUCAAUGAGCACAAACUGGGGCAAAUUCUGAUUUAACCCUAAAAUAGGGUUGGCGUAACAAUGCGAUCUCAGAUUCUUUAAACCACUUUUGAAAUCCGCUUUCAAGCCUUAACUUUUCUAAGCACCCACCUGACCCCAUUACAAAAGCCGAAAGUCCUGACUUCUGUUCUUUGCAAUGGCCCUGUCAAGAAAAUUUCUGAUGCCGAAAAUUUUAGCUGUAUUUCUGAAUUGCUUGGGUAUGGGUUGACGCUACUCACCAUGUGAAAACCCACCAAGUUGAGGGAAAGGGAAAAGAAGCAAAAGCAAAAAAGGAGUAAAUGCAAGAAAAUGCAGAAAAUUCGACGCUGAAGUCCCUGGUGAAUGAUGAGAAAAAUGCAAACAAAGUCUGAGAUCUUUUGAGUUCAAAAUAGGGGCAAUUUUGAGAAAAAUGCGAUCUUCGGUGCUAUGUCCUUGAAAGUUUUAUUCUUUAGCUAUCGUUUUCAAGCCACAUUACAAGCUAAUAAAGUCCAUCGUUGACUUAUUCCUUCAUGACAAUCCAAAAUGAGGAUUAUGCUCGUAAGGAAUCCAUCAAUUAUUUAUGAUCAUAAGGGUAUAACCAGUUUUCGCAUGUUUAGCUAUCGUUCUACCCAUUGUUGCAAGUUUAAAGCUUGUACGUUGACUAAGUUUUCUUAAGAAAUAAGAGUGACAAACUCUUUGCUUUCACUAAGAUGUGAUAUUGAAUGAUUAAAUUGCAAUUGGGGCACAAAAAUGAGACAAAUUCUGACCUCCCAUUUCCUUAGCCAAAUCAAAAUAAAGUCACUUGAUUGAUUCUGAAAAGAUGAGCCAACCAAAAGUGGUGACCCGUUACCCUGACACCAAUGCUAAAAAGUGAGGAAGAAAUCUUCUUGAAUUUGGUGUUACUUCGAGGAAUUCAUCAUGAAAUUUCUGCAUGAGUUCAAACUUGACGUUAAAGUUUCUUCACAUUGUUGUAUAUGUGCAUUCUUUUCUAAAUGGGCAAAAGUGCGGCUUUUCUUUGUUCAAAUAAAUGGGAAAUCAUCUGAACGAAUUUUUGCAAAUAAGGGAACCCACACUGGGGCAAAAUUUUAUUUGUAAGAUUUCAUGAAAUAAAUCCACACUGGGGCAAAAUUUUAUUUGUAAGAUUUCAUGAAAUAAAUCCAUAUUGGGGCAAAAGUUUUUUAAUACAUUUGAGGAUAUCAAACCAAUCACGCUGUUCUUUCCAAAUAAGAAAUUUGAAUGCAUGUCAUACUUUGAUGAACCCCUUGUACAGGAAUUCAUGGUUCAAAAUGACAGAAAAGCAUCUGGUGAUGUGGGAGGCCGAUGCCGAAGAAAGAGAAGAAAGAAAGGAAAAGGGCCCUACACUUGGGGCAAAUUAUUUUUGGAAAAUUCUCUCUCUCAAAAAAAAAAAAAAAAAAAUCAAUCAGAAAAAUUCAAAAGUCAAACAUCAAGUUCAAAUUCUUGUUUCUUGAAAAAAUCAAAAUUGAUUUCUUGUGGGCGAAGCUUCAAUGCCCGCCGCGCACCCUUCCAUUCCCUACUCUUGACAACUAUAUUUGAUUCUACCACCGUUAGCAUCGAGUUUAUCUCACUAACGUGUGCGUUUCAUCCUACCGCCGUUAGCAUCGAGUCUAUCUCACUAACGUGUGCGUUUCAUCUUACUGCCGUUAGCAUCGAGUCUAUCUCACUAACGUGCAUGUUUUCAUUCCACCGCCGUUAGCAUCGAGUCUAUCUCACUAACGUGCGUGUUUCAUCUUACUGCCGUUAGCAUCGAGUCUAUCUCACUAACGUGCAUGUUUUCAUUCCACCGCCGUUAGCAUCGAGUCUAUCUCACUAACGUGCGUGUCUCAUUUCUACCGCCGUUAGCAUCGAGUCCAUCUCACUAACGUGCGUGUCUCAUUUCUACCGCCGUUAGCAUCGAGUCCAUCUCACUAACGUGCGUGUCUCAUUUCUACCGCCGUUAGCAUCGAGUCAUCUCACUAACGUGCGUGUCUCAUUUCUACACCGCCGUUAGCAUCAAGUCUAUCUCACUAACGUGCGUGUUUCAUUGCUAUCGCCGUUAGCAUCGAGUCUAUCUCACUAACGUGCGUGUUUCAUUUCUACCGCCGUUAGCAUCGAGUCUAUCUCACUAACGUGCGUGUUUCAUUCUACCGUCGUUAGCAUCGAGUCUAUCUCACUAACGUACGUGUUUCAUCCUACCGCCGUUAGCAUCGAGUCUAUCUCACUAACGUGCGCGUUUUCAUCCUACCGCCGUUAGCAUCGAACCUAUCUCACUAAUGUGCGUGUUUUCAUCCCACCAACACUCCAUCUCACUUCAAUUCAUCUAAUUUUACAUUUCUGUCCGGGUCUAUCCCGUGGGUCUAUCCCAAUUUUAAAUUUCUGUCCGGGUCUAUCCCGUGGGUCUAUCCCAAUUUUAAAUUUCUGUCUGGGUCUAUCCCAAUUUUACAUUUCUGUCCGGGUCUAUCCCGUGGGUCUAUCCCAAUUUUACAUUUUCUGUUCGGGUCUAUCCCGUGGGUCUAUCCCAAUUUUAAAUUUCUGUCCGGGUCUAUCCCGUGGGUCUAUCCCAAUUUUAAAUUUCUGUCUGGGUCUAUUCCAAUUUUACAUUUCUGUCCGGGUCUAUCCCGUGGGUCUAUCCCAAUUUUAAAUUUCUGUCUGGGUCUAUCCCAAUUUUACAUUUCUGUCCGGGUCUAUCCCAAUUUUACAUUUUCUGUUCGGUUCUAUCCCGUGGGUCUAUCCCAUUUACGUUUCUGUUUGGGUCUAUCCCAUUUUACAUUUCUGUCCGGGUCUAUCCCGUGGGUCUAUCCCAAUUUUAAAUUUCUGAUCAGGUCUAUCCCGUGGGUCUAUCCCAAUUUUACAUUUCUGUCCGGGUCUAUCCCGUGGGUCUACCCCAAUUUUAAAUUUCUGUCCGGGUCUAUCCGUGGGUCUACCCAAUUUUAAAUUUCUGUCCGGGUCUAUCCCGUGGGUCUAUCCCAAUGUUACAGUUUCUGUUCGGGUCUAUCCCAUUUAAAUUUCUGUCUGGGUCUAUCCCAUUUUACAUUUUCUGUUCGGGUCUAUCCCUGGGUCUAUCCCAUUUACGUUUUUGUUUGGGUCUAUCCCAUUUUACAUUUUCUGUUUGGGUCUAUCCCAUUGUAUAUUUCCUGUCCGGGGUCAGUCCCCAUCGUUCGAGUCGUUCACAGCCGAAUGACCCCGGGUAAGCAUUUGGUGUCUACUUCUUUGUCUCAAGUUUUUUCAAAACUCAGACAAAGAGGGGCAAACUGUAGACACCAAAUUUUGAUUUUUUUUAACUUUAAUCUUAGCCUUAUUUGUUUAAUUUAAUCUUAGCUUUAUUUGUUUCAAUUUUAGGGUUUUCAUUUAUUAUUAUUUAUUAUUUUUAUUAUUGUUAUUUAUUUUAUUUUUGUUCUAGUGUAUUUUUUGGCUUCACAUUAAAUUUCAGGAAAAACAAAAGAAAAAAGAGAAAAGGAAAAAGAAAGAAAGAAGUGAAAAUGACAAGUGUGACUGCAUGCACUUGGACAAGUGUCUUUUCUAUGUUUUAGACAACUAAGCACCUAAGGGGUGAGGUGUUAGGGACAUUUGGGAAGUUAAGGAAUUUUUGGGGGUCAAAGUAGAAUUUUGUGAGGGCUAAAAACUAAAAAAAAGAGGAAGAAAACAAAAAAAGGAAAAACAGAGAGAUGAGAGCUUGAGGGGAGAGCUACGACUAAAAAGGGAAAAGAUUGAAAAAGGCUUUGGGGGGUUUUGGGGCUGAGAAACAGGGGGGCGGCGACAAGGAUAGAGAGCCGAAAAAGACUAAGAAAAGAGGAGGUUUUAGGAGGAACAAGCAGCAAAAACCAAAACAAGAAGAGAGUGAGGGAGAGGUUCUCGGAUGAGGUGAAAGAAAACAGCAGAGGGGGAUUAGAAAGAGGAGCCACGGAAAAAAAAACAACAAGAAACAGAGAAGGGACUUACGACUGGAAACAGAGUGAAAAGGGUGAGAAGGUUUCGCCUGGGAAUGCCAAGAAACAAAGAAGGAAUGGGCGACUAAAAACAGAGGAGCUUGGCCUUGAGGAAAAGAGAGCUCACGGGGGAAGUUUUGAUUGUGAGGCAAAACGAGAGAGAGAGUUAGAGGGAAGAAUUGAGGAGAAAAACAGAAAAAACAAGGAAAAAGCAGAGGGAAGGCGUCGGCUGGAAAACAGAAAAAAAAGAAAGGCCUCGGCAGAGCAACGCAAAACAGAGCAAGAGGGGAAAUUUGGAAAGGGACUUCGGUCGACAAAAUCAGAGAAAACAUGAGGUCCUCGACACCCAAGACUUCGACUUCCAGCUGCUCAAACUCAAUGCUAUUAUCAAAGCCAGAGCUUAUUAUCAAAUGCUUCUCCACCUGCGCCUCGUCUGGGGAUGACUUGAGCAGCGACGGCAGCGAAGGUUUCCAAUUCACCAGGCCGUUACCGUGUCAUCGAAUACACACCACCAUCAUCGCCCGUGGAUUUUCAUCGUCAAGAGCUCUGUAAGUCUUCUAUUUAAAUUUCAGUUCUUCUCAAGAGUGUGAAAUGGGUCUGCCGUGGCUUCAUCUAGUGUGAUUCUCCUGUUAAUUGGUUUCAUUUUUGAAUACCCAUACUACAUAUGUUGAUUGAGUUGAAUGUCUUGAUUUCUGAUAAAUUUGGGGGCUGAUUGACUUCAAUUUGGAACAAAAAUCUGAUGAAACUUUUAAUGCCCCCAAUCUGUUCGAUGUAAUGUCUAGCCGAAAACUUUUUUUUCCGUGUGGAGAAACCGGCUAAGUUGGCCGAAUCAUUGCCUCACGUUUAAGAAAUUUUGAUGCAUUGCUAUCUUUCAUUUUUUCCGUUGCAGUUUUUUUUUGCAAUUUUUCCGUUGCUGUUUUCGGUUGCAUGAAUUCGAAAUCCCCAAUAAAAAUUCCUUCAUCUCUCCCUAAUGUGUCGGACCUUGUCUAUAAGAAAACUGAUUGGGUUGUUGUAAAUUUUGGCUUUUGUUAUUGAGCAAAUUGAUGAAUGAAUUCAAUGUUGUUAACGCGCCUUUACCUGUUUGAUGAAAUGCCUGAACCAGAAAUUUGAACCAAAAAAGAGAUUUGUAUGUAAUUUCUGUAUGCAAUUUAGAAAAGUUCUGGCCAGUGCAAAGCUGGCCAGAACCUGAGCAUUCGCUAGUUGAGCAGAGGGAAAGAAAAUUAUGAUUUCCGAAGUUGAUUUCUUCCAUUUUCGUCAUUUGCCUGUUGAGAUGCUAUGUUUGAGUGUUUUGUCCGAUAGUUUACUAGAUUUGAGAAGCAUCAAAAGUUGCAGAAACUUUCCCUCUUAUUUGCAUCGAAGAAGAAAGCCUCGGCGAGGCAUGAAGCAUUAAUUUCUGAAAAUUGCAAUUUAACCCCUCAGCUUCCCUUAUUCUGAUAUGGCCCAAAAUCUGGAAAAAUUGAACUAAUUUCACCCUUUUAAAUUAUUUUAUGUGAUUUGUUUGGAUAGAUUAAUGCUUAUUUGUAGGUUAUAAUUGAGGUUUAAUAAGUUUAUUUGAUUUCAUUAUGAUUGUUUCAAUAAAAACAAGUGAUAUGGGCUAAGAGUCUUUUUGUUUGGGUUUAAGAAAGUGGGUUCAGUUCAUGAUUUUUGGGUUUUGGUUUGGGCUAGAGGGUCAAGACCCAUCUAUUUGAUUGGCUAAUUUUUGGCCAAAAUAACAUACUAGCCCACUUGUUUUUCCUUGGAUUUCCGAUUGGGGCCAAGUAAUCUUGGCCCAAGAAAGGUGAAAAUGGCCCAUUCCCUUUUGUUUUGGAUUUUCGAUUGGGUCUGGAAGGCUUUGGCCCAAGCAAAUAAAGGAAACGGCCCAAGUGGCCUAAUCCAUUAGGAAACCAGAAAACGUUUUUGCAAAUCGGUCCUGAAUUUCUCCUUAAUCGUACUGUGGCCCUGGACAUUUUCAACUUUUUUCAAUUCGAUCCUUACUUUAAUUGCAAAUAGGUCGCUGAACUUUAUUUUUUCUUUAAUUUUGACCUCCAAACUUUGUUAAUUUGUGCAAUCAAGUCCUUUCUUCUUUUGACUUCUUGAAUGUGAGUUGCUUACAUGAUUCAAUUGAUUCAAUUUCAAGUUUACCAUUUUAUUUUUUUAUGAUUAUUGGUCAAAUAAAUUGGCACCUUGACUCCUUUAUUAUUUUGGAGGAUAAAUAAGUUGAUUUCACUCCAUUAGAGCUUCAUUUCAAGGGAGGUAUAAUUUCUUUUAUCCCUUUUGUCUCUCCUAUGUGAUCCAAUGUGCUAAGUGUGAAUCGCAUGCCUAAUUUGCUUUCAUUACCAUUCUUUAGUUCCAUUAUUUCAUUCAUUCUUGCUUUUAUUAAAUUAUUCUUUUAAAUGGGGUAUGUGUACACCUCUUGGCUUGUAAUAGAUAGGGUUUGGAGGAGCAUUCGAUGAAGAGCUGUUGAAGACUUGUGCCUAGCUAGCAAAUGUAAUAGUUAGGGCCUUAAUCACCUUAUGUGUCUUGCAUGUCUAUGUGCUAUAUGUUUAAUCGUUUUCUUAGGUUUUGGCAUUUAGAUAUGCAUGCUAAGUGUUAUGUGCUAUGUGAUUGACAUGUCUACUCGCUUUCCAUAUCCUUGAAUGAAUGUGAUGGAUGAAUGUACGUUUCCGCUAGUCCAACGCUAGUCGGAAUUCAUAGAAUGGGCUAGUCCAAUGCUAGACCCUUAGGGAUUUCCCCUCGUUAGUACAUGUUUGCAUGUUCAUUACAUGUCAUGCAUUCUUUUUAGUUUUAUCAUUUUGCAUGCCCCUCGAACCCCUUUUCCCUCCAUUUUAGGAUUUUUGCAUUUCAUGCUAGCUAUAGGGUUCAUUUGCUUGAGAGUCCCCUUAAAUAUGGGAUAUAGACGAGUGUGGCUUUUUCUAAGCCUUAGCACGCUUGUAUUCCCUCUAUAAAAGGGCAAAUUGAGUCACGAUUUAGGUCUCCCCGUACCCAAUAUACAUGAAUUCCCUAGGUUCAUGCAUCCACUCUACCAUUUUCUACCUUCAUCACACUUUCAUUUUUUCCUCCCAUUUCGCACACGUGCACCUUUUAUAUUUUCACUUGCACACGAACAUUUUUAUCAUCACUUGCACACAUGCACUUUAUAUUAUCAUUUCACAUACCGUACCUUGCCCACUCACGUGCACAUUUUCAUUCACAUAUUUAUUGUCUUUUAUUAUUUUUUCAAACUCAUGUCCUCACAUUGCAUACAUGCAUUCCAUUCAUUUGCAUCCCACUCGCAUUAUUCGUGACUUCUUCAAAGGAUCGUUAUUGGGCUUCACAAUUAAUGUGAUUGGCACCACUCAACCUUUGAAGGAAAUUUCCCCCAGUACCCCUAGGUCUAGGGUUUGCAUUCAUGUAGUGCAUCCAAAUGUAAUAAAUUCUUUGAUUAAAACAAGAAAAUCUUUGAUUAAAUCAUGCAACUAGCCUUGGCUAGGUCAAAGGGGUGCCUUGGAUUUUAUCCUUGCCUUCCCCUUUGUCAAAUGUGACUCCCGAACCUUUUUCUUUGGUUUACGUGGAUUAGGAGUCGUUUAAAAGGGGUUUCUUACUACUUUUUCCUAUUUUUCUUCAAAAUCCAUUUUUAGGUGACUUGGUACACCUUAACUCAUUACCAAGUGGCGACUCCGUAUUUUGUUUCAAAAAACCCUUUUUAAACUAUAAUUUUGGGUCAAAUCGUCGCAUUCUCAAACCCCCAUUUAGACCCAUUUUUUCUCACAAUUCAUUUUCCAAUCACAAAUUGAAUCAAAAAUACAUUUUUUUAAAACCAUUUAUUUUAUUUAUCAAAAAAAUGGGGCGCGACAGUUGGCGACUCCACUGGGGACAUUUGAGAGUCCGAGCAAAUUUGAUUUAAUCAACCUUUUUCUUCUUUUAACCUUUUCAUAUAUCACAUUUGGGUGUUUUAGGGUUGCAUUUUUUCUUUUUAGGAUUUUUGCAUUUCGCGCGUAUUAAUUACUCCCUCACUCACGAAUGUAUGAUUGGUUGAUUGGAUGUAUGUUUACUUGUUUAUCUCGCGCUUGCAUUGCAUUUGGGGGUGUGUGUCACCUUUAGAGCCUCGCGUGGUUCUCAACCCCUUCCCUCAAAAUAGGGAACACUUCAUACGUGCAUGUUUACUUAUUGUUAUCCCAUUUUAUUUUAUUUUUCGUGGGCGCUAUCCCACACCGCCUUGUAGGAUUAGGAUUGAUUGCCUUGGGUAGGCGGAUGGUGUGCGCUGCGCCCAUAGCGCUACCUAAGGGAUCACUCGAGCCACCGACCAAGGCCCUGGGAGUGAUGACCCUUCGCCUUUAGGUCUGAAGGCUUGGGAGCCGAAGCCUUAUCGAGUCUAGUUGCAUUAGUGAACCCGAGCCUCAUGCAUCCAUGUUAGAAUUUUCCUAGGUUAGAGUCAGCCUUACCCUCUUUUAAGCACAUUAGGCACGAGGGAAGGGGUUCCACCCCUUUUACUUGUUUUAUUGUAUUUCCUUUUUAUUUGCUCCCAAUGUGUUAUGUGUACUAUCAAUUGUGCUAACCAUUUCAUUGUUUUCUUGUCUUGCAUUCAUAUGCCUUAGCAAUAAGAGGCCUCUUCGGCAUUCUUUUAGUGACCUACCCACUAGAUAACUCACAUGUUUAAGUUUCAGUCAUUGCACUUGAUUUUCAAUAAGUACAUUUCAUUUUUAGACCUUUUCCCCCCGAUGCAUUAUUCAUGUCCUUUAGGCCAUAUUUGUCACAUAUUUACAUCGCUUUAAUAAACUGGCAUCAUGCAUUAAACCAUAGAAAGGGAAUGCCAUUUAGGGGAUCCCGUGUUAGGAAUAAGCCACUUUGUGUCUCGGAUACUUAAUCCAACGAGACUUGCACGUUUACAUUUUGUACCAUCCAAAGGGGUAGUGCACAAGGUAAGGUAGGAUCCAAUUAUUUUCAUAGAGUGAUUUUUGGAAUAUGAACGUCUAAUAAUCACUUUUUGGCCAUUUUAUCAAACUUGGUAAAAAUCCCUUGCGUAAAGGACGUUAAUUUGAAGAAAUUCACAAAUAAUGCCUCCUGUUGAGACAAUAAAUAAAUUGAGGCCAAAUCGUGAUUUUAGAAGGCUCAUAGACUAUUUUUUUGAAGCCACCAAUGGCUGGACGAUUCAAUCGAUCCAUUUUUGUCAAUUCAUAAUCAAUUUUGAGUAAAUCAUUAACUUCAUUUCAUUCAUUUGACCAAUUUACCCUUUUUAGGGUCAUUCGGUCAUUUUGAAUAAAUCAUCAAUUCAUUUGACCAAUUUACCCUUUUUAGGGUCAUCCGGUCAUUUUGAAUAAAUCAUCAAUUCAUUUGACCAAUUUACCCUUUUUAGGGUCAUCCGGUCGAUUUUGAAUAAAUCGUCAAUUUAUUUGACAAUUUACCCUUUUAGGGUCAUUUGACCAAUUUACCCUUUUAGGGUCAUCCGUCAUUUUGAAUAAAUCGAUCAUUCAAUUCAUUUGACCAAUUUACCCUUUUUAGGGUCUCCGGUCAAUUUUGAAUAAAUCGUCAAUUCAUUUGACCAAUUUACCCUUUUUAGGGUCAUUCUGCAUUUUUGAAUAAAUCACUAAUUCAUUUCAUUCAUUUGACCAAUUUACCCUUUUAGGGCAUCCGGUCUGUUUUGAAUAAAAUUCUCAAUUUCAUCGAUCAAAUUCCUUUUUAGGAUGAUUCGGUCAAUUUUGAGUAAAUUAAAUUUCACUCAAUUCAUUUGACCCUUUCCCUUUUUAGGGUAAUCGGUCGAUUUUAAAUAAAUGGUCAAUUCAUUCAACACAUUUGACCAAUUAGGGUUUCAAUGUCAAUUUCAAAUUGGAAACCUAGUCGAUUUUGAGAAAACCAUCCAUUGCAUCCAGCCAUUUGAUCAGUUGGGUUUUGACCCGUGCUUCACUGAAAAAUUUGUCAACGAAUUCCAAUCUCUUCGAUAGGAAGUUCGUCAAGGUCAAACCUGUGCGUUUUUGCAAAUUCUUGUAUCGAUCAAAAGUGAUCAAUCCCUUCGGACGAGUCCUCAUUUUGACAAACGUCUCUUCUCACUCCAAUUGACCAAAUUUUUCAAAAUUAUUUUUUCUCACUCAAUGAGUUGAUCGAUCCAUCAGGUAUUGUAUAGUGCCUAUCCUAGAGGAUUGCAUUUUCAUGCUAGGCCUACCCUUGGCACAAAAAGGGUUCCCCCAUAGGACAUGCAUACCGAUUUUAUAUUCUUGUUUACUAACUCUGGGUAUUUUUCUUUUGUUUUCCCCCUCCCCUGCAUUCAUAAAAAUGUUUCAAUAAGGGAAAAUAUUUUUCUAUAUCUGAUGAAAUUUGAUCUAAUAAGUGUCAAAAUUGCAAGUAUUUGUGAUUCUUGGGCAGAUCCUACAAUGAAAACAUAAAGAUCUAUCUGGAAGCUCUACGCUAAAGCUCUGAGAGAUUUUGUAAUUGUUUCAAAGGAAAAUUCUGUAUAUUUGAUUUGUUAAUACAUUUUGUUCCAAAAGAAAAGGAGACAAAAAGUGUAUAUGUGGAGCUCUUUACAAGUUUCUCUCUUUCAUUUGUAUCAUAAUUGAGAGAAUUUUGUUUCAAACUUUUUCAGCAAUAAAAUUUUUGGACAAUUAUUGUUUUGUGUAUAUUUAUGUACAUUUCAUUCUUUAUUCUUACUCAUUGGAGAUUUCAUGAUGAAUUUUGAGAAAUAAAACCAAAUUGAGAUUUUUUCAACCUCCAGCCUGAAAUUCACAAGUAUAUGCUUCUAAAAUCCUUACACUCGAUUGGUGAUCCGAGCUGUACAAUAAAAGUGCUCAAAAAUAAGAGAGGUCCUCAAAAGGCCCAAUGAGAUACCUUUUCUCCUUCGCUGAACAAUUCAUGUUUUGCCACUUCUAUUGACCCCAUUGGGGCAACUUUACUUGAAAAAUGUCCAUGUGUCUAAUUAGACUCAAUCACAUCUAAGUGAAAGCGAAAGGGUGCAUUAUUCUUAUUUGUUUUGAAAAUUUGGAAUGAUACUUUGAGCAUUCGUUUCUCUACCAUACAGAUUUUAUCAUUUGCUCUCCCUUUGAGCCUUUAAAAGAAUAACUUCGUUUCAAAUAAGCGCCUUGAUGAUCACAACCCUACAUGGAAAAUUUUCGAAUAUCAAAAGGGGAAUGGAUUCUCAAUGAGCAUUUCUUUACUUUGGUUUGUCAUGAAGCGUAAGAAUGAUGCUUUGGCCAUCGUUUCUACCUUAAACACUGCUUUACCCUUGCAUCCUCAUUUGAGCCAAAAUUGCUGGUUCUUUUCAAAGCACUUAUGAUCGCCCCCACACUGGGGAAGAGAUUGGAGAAUUUUCCAAAAGAAAAGAGAAAAGCCAAAAUGCUAAGGCUAAAAGGGAGAACCGCAAAUUGGAAAUUUGAUUCCACUUGGGUUCCAAUGUUGAAAAAAAGAAAAGGAAGAAUUUCAUCUGGCAGGAUCAUCUAUGCUUCACAGGCGUCUUCCUCAGUCAAUUAAUUCAAAUACAUGCGAGAAAUUUCGUCAUUAAUGAAAGUUUCCUUUCAGAGUUAAUGUAAAGAACGGAUAAAGGUCAGGCCCUCUUCUUUUCCAAGCGAACAUUCUAUCCUUAGUUAUCCCUUUUGAGCCUUCAGAAUGAAUUAUUUCGUUUGGCAACCCCUGAGAAUUGCAAACCCCACACUGGGGCAAGUUUGAGUUGAAAAAAAAUUUCAAGAAGUGAAAAGUGAAAAGCCACAAAAUCAAAAGACAAAAGAAAAGAGAACCUCAGUUCAAAAUAAACUGGGGCAAAUUUUGUGAAAGUUCAAAAAUGGAAAAGCCGAAAAAUCAAAAGAAGAAAGAAAAUGAAAGAGAAAAAGCCUCAAUUGAGCAUAAACUGGGGCAAAUUCUGAUUUAACCCUAAAAUAGGGUUGGCAACAAUGCGAUCUCAGAUUCUUUAAACCACUUUUGAAAUCCGCUUUCAAGCCUUAACUUUUCUAAGCACCCCACCUGACCCCAUUACAAAAGCCGAAAGUCCUGACUUCUGUUCUUUGCAAUGGCCCUGUCAAGAAAAUUUCUGAUGCCGAAAAUUUUAGCUGUAUUUCUGAAUUGCUUGGGUAUGGGGUUGACGCUACUCACCAUGUGAAAACCCACCAAUUGAGGAAAGGAAAAGAAGCAAAAAGCAAAAAAAGGAGUAAAUGCAAGAAAAUGCAGAAAAUUCGACGCUGAAGUCCCUGGUGAAUGAUGAGAAAAAUGCAAACAAAGUCUGAGAUCUUUGAGUUCAAAAUAGGGGCAAUUUUGAGAAAAAUGCGAUCUUCGGUGCUAUGUCCUUGAAAGUUUUAUUCUUUAGCUAUCGUUUUCAAGCCACAUUACAAGCUAAUAAAGUCCAUCGUUGACUUAUUCCUUCAUGACAAUCCAAAGUGAGGAUUAUGCUCGUAAGGAAUCCAUCAAUUAUUUAUGAUCAUAAGGGUAUAACCAGUUUUCGCAUGUUUAGCUAUCGUUCCUACCCAUUGUUGCAAGUUAAAGCUUGUACGUUGACUAAGUUUUCUUAAGAAAUAAGAGUGACAAACUCUUUGCUUUCACUAAGAUGUGAUAUUGAAUGAUUAAAUUGCAAUUGGGACAAAAAUGAGACAAAUUCUGACCUCCCAUUUCCUUAGCCAAAUCAAAAUAAAGUCACUUGAUUGAUCUGAAAGAUGAGCCAACCAGAAAGUGGUGACCCGUUACCCUAACAAAUGCUAAAAGUGAGGAAGAAAUCUUCUUGAAUUUGGUGUUACUUCGAGGAAUUCAUCAUGAAAUUUCUGCAUGAGUUCAAACUUGACGUUUAAAGUUUCUUCACAUUGUUGUAUAUGUGCAUUCUUUUCUAAAUGGGCAAAAGUGCGGCUUUUCUUUGUUCAAAUAAAUGGGAAAUCAUCUGAACGAAUUUUUGCAAAAGGGAACCCACACUGGGGCAAAAUUUUAUUUGUAAGAUUUCAUGAAAUAAAUCCACACUGGGGCAAAAUUUUAUUUGUAAGAUUUCAUGAAAUAAAUCCAUACUGGGGCAAAAUUUUUUUAAGAUACAAAGUUUUUUAAUUUGAGGAUAUCAAACCAAUCACGCUGUUCUUUCCAAAUAAGAAAUUUGAAUGCAUGUCAUACUUUGAUGAACCCUUGUACAGGAAUUCAUGGUUCAAAAUGACAGAAAAGCAUCUGGUGAUGUGGGAGCCGAUGCCGAAGAAAGAGAAGAAAGAAAGGAAAAGGGCCCUACACUUGGGGCAAAUUAUUUUUGGAAAAUUCUCUCUCUCAAAAAAAAAAAAAAAAAAAAUCAAUCAGAAAAAUUCAAAAGUCAAACAUCAAGUUCAAAUUCUUGUUUCUUGAAAAAAUCAAAAUUGAUUUCUUGUGGGCGAAGCUUCAAUGCCCGCCGCGCACCCUUCCAUUCCCUACUCUUGACAACUAUAUUUGAUUCUACCACCGUUAGCAUCGAGUUUAUCUCACUAACGUGUGCGUUUCAUCCUACCGCCGUUAGCAUCGAGUCUAUCUCACUAACUGUGUGCGUUUCAUCUUACUGCCGUUAGCAUCGAGUCUAUCUCACUAACGUGCAUGUUUUCAUUCCACCGCGUUAGCAUCGAGUCUAUCUCACUAACGUGCGUGUUUCAUCUUACUGCCGUUAGCAUCGAGUCUAUCUCACUAACGUGCAUGUUUUCAUUCCACCGCCGUUAGCAUCGAGUCUAUCUCACUAACGUGCGUGUUCAUUUCUACCGCCGUUAGCAUCGAGUCCAUCUCACUAACGUGCGUGUCUCAUUUCUACCGCCGUUAGCAUCGAGUCCAUCUCACUAACGUGCGUGUCUCAUUUCUACCGCCGUUAGCAUCGAGUCCAUCUCACUAACGUGCGUGUCUCAUUUCUACCGCCGUUAGCAUCGAGUCUAUCUCACUAACGUGCGUGUUUCAUUGCUACGCCGUUAGCAUCGAGUCUAUCUCACUAACGUGCGUGUUUCAUUUCUACCGCCGUUAGCAUCGAGUCUAUCUCACUAACGUGCGUGUUUCAUUCUACCGCCGUUAGCAUCGAGUCUAUCUCACUAACGUGCGUGUUUCAUCCUACCGCGUUAGCAUCGAGUCUAUCUCACUAACGUGCGUGUUUUCAUCCUACCGCCGUUAGCAUCGAGUCUAUCUCACUAACGUGCGCUUUUCAUCCUACCGCUUAGCAUCGAACCUAUCUCACUAAUGUGCGUGUUUUCAUCCCACAACACUCCAUCUCACUUCAAUUCAUCUAAUUUUACAUUUCUGUCCGGGUCUAUCCCGUGGGUCUAUCCCAAUUUUAAAUUUCUGUCCGGGUCUAUCCCGUGGGUCUAUCCCAAUUUUAAAUUUCUGUCUGGGUCUAUCCAAUUUUACAUUUCUGUCCGGGUCUAUCCCGUGGGUCUAUCCCAAUUUUACAUUUUCUGUUCGGGUCUAUCCCGUGGGUCUAUCCAUUUUAAAUUUCUGUCCGGGUCUAUCCCGUGGGUCUAUCCCAAUUUUAAAUUUCUGUCUGGGUCUAUUCCAAUUUUACAUUUCUGUCCGGGUCUAUCCCGUGGGUCUAUCCCAAUUUUAAAUUUCUGUCUGGGUCUAUCCCAAUUUUACAUUUCUGUCCGGGUCUAUCCCAAUUUUACAUUUUCUGUUCGGUUCUAUCCCGUGGGUCUAUCCCAUUUACGUUUCUGUUUGGGUCUAUCCCAUUUUACAUUUCUGUCCGGGUCUAUCCCGUGGGUCUAUCCCAAUUUUAAAUUUCUGAUCAGGUCUAUCCCGUGGGUCUAUCCCAAUUUUACAUUUCUGUCCGGGUCUAUCCCGUGGGUCUACCCCAAUUUUAAAUUUCUGUCCGGGUCUAUCCCGUGGGUCUACCCCAAUUUUAAAUUUCUGUCCGGGUCUAUCCCGUGGGUCUAUCCCAAUGUUACAGUUUCUGUUCGGGUCUAUCCCAUUUAAAUUUCUGUCUGGGUCUAUCCCAUUUUACAUUUUCUGUUCGGGUCUUCCGUGGGUCUAUCCCAUUUACGUUUGUUUGGGUCUAUCCCAUUUUACAUUUUCUGUUUGGGUCUAUCCCAUUGUAUAUUUCCUGUCCGGGGUCAGUCCCCAUCGUUCGAGUCGUUCACAGCCGAAUGACCCCGGGUAAGCAUUUGGUGUCUACUUCUUUGUCUCAAGUUUUUUCAAAACUCAGACAAAGAGGGGCAAACUGUAGACACCAAAUUUUGAUUUUUUUUAACUUUAAUCUUAGCCUUAUUUGUUUAAUUUAAUCUUAGCUUUAUUUGUUUCAAUUUUAGGGUUUUCAUUUAUUAUUAUUUAUUAUUUUUAUUAUUGUUAUUUAUUUUAUUUUUGUUCUAGUGUAUUUUUGGCUUCACAUUAAAUUUCAGGAAAAACAAAAGAAAAAAGAGAAAAGGAAAAAGAAAGAAAAAGUGAAAAUGACAAGUGUGACUGCAUGCACUUGGACAAGUGUCUUUUCUAUGUUUUAGACAACUAAGCACCUAAGGGGUGAGGUGUUAGGGACAUUUGGGAAGUUAAGGAAUUUUUGGGGGUCAAAGUAGAAUUUUGUGAGGGCUAAAAACUAAAAAAAAGAGGAAGAAAACAAAAAAAGGAAAAACAGAGAGAUGAGAGCUUGAGGGGAGAGCUACGACUAAAAAGGGAAAAGAUUGAAAAAGGCUUUGGGGGGUUUUGGGGCUGAGAAACAGGGGGGCGGCGGACAAGGAUAGAGAGCCGAAAAAGACUAAGAAAAGAGGAGGUUUUAGGAGGAACAAGCAGCAAAAACCAAAACAAGAAGAGAGUGAGGGAGAGGUUCUCGGAUGAGGUGAAAGAAAACAGCAGAGGGGGGAUUAGAAAGAGGAGCCACGGAAAAAAAAACAACAAGAAACAGAGAAGGGACUUACGACUGGAAACAGAGUGAAAAGGGUGAGAAGGUUUCGCCUGGGAAUGCCAAGAAACAAAGAAGGAAUGGGCGACUAAAAAACAGAGGAGCUUGGGCCUUGAGGAAAAGAGAGCUCACGGGGGGAAGUUUUGAUUGUGAGGCAAAACGAGAGAGAGAGUUAGAGGGAAGAAUUGAGGAGAAAAAAGAAAAAACAAGGAAAAAGCAGAGGGAAGGCGUCGGCUGGAAAACAGAAAAAGAAAAGAAAGGCCUCGCAGAGCAACGCAAAACAGAGCAAGAGGGGAAAUUUGGAAAGGACUUCGGUCGACAAAAUCAGAGAAAACAUGAGGUCCUCGACACCCAAGACUUCGACUUCCAGCUGCUCAAACUCAAUGCUAUUAUCAAAGCCAGAGCUUAUUAUCAAAUGCUUCUCCACCUGCGCCUCGUCUGGGGAUGACUUGAGCAGCGACGGCAGCGAAGGUUUCCAAUUCACCAGGCCGUUACCGUGUCAUCGAAUACACACCACCAUCAUCGCCCGUGGAUUUUCAUCGUCAAGAGCUCUGUAAGUCUUCUAUUUAAAUUUCAGUUCUUCUCAAGAGUGUGAAAUGGGUCUGCCGUGGCUUCAUCUAGUGUGAUUCUCCUGUUAAUUGGUUUCAUUUUUGAAUACCCAUACUACAUAUGUUGAUUGAGUUGAAUGUCUUGAUUUCUGAUAAAUUUGGGGGCUGAUUGACUUCAAUUUGGAACAAAAAUCUGAUGAAACUUUUAAUGCCCCCAAUCUGUUCGAUGUAAUGUCUAGCCGAAAACUUUUUUUUCCGUGUGGAGAAACCGGCUAAGUUGGCCGAAUCAUUGCCUCACGUUUAAGAAAUUUUGAUGCAUUGCUAUCUUUCAUUUUUUCCGUUGCAGUUUUUUUUUGCAAUUUUUCCGUUGCUGUUUUCGGUUGCAUGAAUUCGAAAUCCCCAAUAAAAAUUCCUUCAUCUCUCCCUAAUGUGUCGGACCUUGUCUAUAAGAAAACUGAUUGGGUUGUUGUAAAUUUUGGCUUUUGUUAUUGAGCAAAUUGAUGAAUGAAUUCAAUGUUGUUAACGCCCUUUACCUGUUUGAUGAAAUGCCUGAACCAGAAAUUUGAACCAAAAAAGAGAUUUGUAUGUAAUUUCUGUAUGCAAUUUAGAAAAGUUCUGGCCAGUGCAAAGCUGGCCAGAACCUGAGCAUUCGCUAGUUGAGCAGAGGGAAAGAAAAUUAUGAUUUCCGAAGUUGAUUUCUUCCAUUUUCGUCAUUUGCCUGUUGAGAUGCUAUGUUUGAGUGUUUUGUCCGAUAGUUUACUAGAUUUGAGAAGCAUCAAAAGUUGCAGAAACUUUCCCUCUUAUUUGCAUCGAAGAAGAAAGCCUCGGCGAGGCAUGAAGCAUUAAUUUCUGAAAAUUGCAAUUUAACCCCUCAGCUUCCCUUAUUCUGAUAUGGCCCAAAAUCUGGAAAAAUUGAACUAAUUUCACCCUUUUAAAUUAUUUUAUGUGAUUUGUUUGGAUAGAUUAAUGCUUAUUUGUAGGUUAUAAUUGAGGUUUAAUAAGUUUAUUUGAUUUCAUUAUGAUUGGUUUCAAUAAAAACAAGUGAUAUGGGCUAAGAGUCUUUUGUUUGGGUUUAAGAAAGUGGGUUCAGUUCAUGAUUUUUGGGUUUUGGUUUGGGCUAGAGGGUCAAGACCCAUCUAUUUGAUUGGCUAAUUUUUGGGCCAAAAUAACAUAUAGCCCACUUGUUUUUCCUUGGAUUUCCGAUUGGGGCCAAGUAAUCUUGGCCCAAGAAAGGUGAAAAUGGAUUCCCUUUUGUUUUGGAUUUUCGAUUGGGUCUGGAAGGCUUUGGCCCAAGCAAAUAAAGGAAACGGCCCAAGUGGCCUAAUCCAUUAGGAAACCAGAAAACGUUUUUGCAAAUCGGUCCCUGAAUUUCUCCUUAAUCGUACUGUGGCCCUGGACAUUUUCAACUUUUUUCAAUUCGAUCCUUACUUUAAUUGCAAAUAGGUCGCUGAACUUUAUUUUUUCUUUAAUUUUGACCUCCAAACUUUGUUAAUUUGUGCAAUCAAGUCCUUUCUUCUUUUGACUUCUUGAAUGUGAGUUGCUUACAUGAUUCAAUUGAUUCAAUUUCAAGUUUACCAUUUUAUUUUUUUAUGAUUAUUGGUCAAAUAAAUUGGCACCUUGACUCCUUUAUUAUUUUGGAGGAUAAAUAAGUUGAUUUCACUCCAUUAGAGCUUCAUUUCAAGGGAGGUAUAAUUUCUUUUAUCCCUUUUGUCUCUCCUAUGUGAUCCAAUGUGCUAAGUGUGAAUCGCAUGCCUAAUUUGCUUUCAUUACCAUUCUUUAGUUCCAUUAUUUCAUUCAUUCUUGCUUUUAUUAAAUUAUUCUUUUAAAUGGGGUAUGUGUACACCUCUUGGCUUGUAAUAGAUAGGGUUUGGAGGAGCAUUCGAUGAAGAGCUGUUGAAGACUUGUUGUGAGGACUCGUAAAAACUAUUAUUUUUUUUAAGCCUAAUUUGUGGCUUAAUAAAUUAUUUAAUUGGAUAUUUGCCUCGAGGAAUAUUUCUAGUCUUAUUAGACCUAAAUACAUGGUAAUAUAACUUCGUUAUAUUUUUAAAGUAACUCAUUUCACGAAUUAAUUUCCUGGAGCGCGUUUAGUAAAAACAGUGAAUAGUGCUUGGAGAUUUUAUCCGCUUGAGAGUACAAUAAGUUUGGAAUAUUGGAGACAUGUACAAUGGACCUAAAUUCGGUAUUUUAAUGUUUAAAUACUCAAGUGAUAGUUAUUAGUACUAUCGUUAUAGAAUUUCCCGGAAGUUUCGCGUUAUAGCGGUAAAAUUGGCGGUACGCGUUUUCACACGCGCGACUUUAUUUGAGGAACUUUAGACCCUUGUUUCGAGACAAUUAAGAGUGAAUAAUGUUUAUAUUAACAUGAGUGCAUUAGAGGUUUAGUGCACUAGUGAACCAAACGCGCGAGAAAAUCGAGCCUAAAAACGUGCCAAACGAGCCUUACAAGAGUUGACUUUGGAGCAAUUUUUCACCACACAUUUAAUCUUCUUUGAGAAGCCAACUUAGAUCAAAAUCACACUCUCUCUUCUCUCUCCUCACAGCCGGCCAAGCUCCUCUCUCUCUCUAACUCAUUUGCAACAAAAAUUCUGCACACUAAUCUCAACCAAAACUACCCCAAAUCACCUCCAAAUCACACCAAACUUGGAGACCACUUAGCAAACCUCUUGGAGGUUGGAUUUAGCUAACAAAAGGCUGCAUCUUCACGGGUUCUUGGAGCUUCAAGAGGGCCGAAAUUUCUGAUCUUGCACACCAAGGAAUAGGUAAUGAUCAACCCUUGGAUUCUUGUCUUUUGGAAUUUAUAUAGCAAGAUUAAGCUCAUGCAUGCACUUAGUUAGCUUGUUUAUGGUGAAAAUGAAAUGAGUGGGCUCUUGGUAUUCCCACACUUGGGUUGUUGUUGCUGAUUUAAGGAUUAAUGUUGGAUUUAAUGGUAGUUUAGUGGUUAUAAUGAUGAGUUUAUGGAGUGUUAUUGUUGGAAACUCAAAGUAGAGGUCUUGGCAAGAAUUUCCGAAAAUGCCCCUGUUUUGUUCGGCCAUAAGAAGGCCCAUUUUUGGUGAUCUAUGGCAUGAACCUGAUGUUUAUAUGUUAUAUUAUGUGUGUAAAAAUUUUCGUUGGAAAACAUUAACGUUUGGUGGGUCAAAUGAAUUUUUCUCCUAGAAGUGGCAAUCUGGAAAUCUGUUCCGUAUUGCACUGUCCAGCGUUGGCAUUUUUGGCUAUAACUCUGUCCUCGGAUGUCGAAAUCAUGUGCCCGUCGGUGCGUUUGAAACUAGACAUUCCUAGCUUUAAAUUUGGUAUAAAAUGCACGUUCUGAUUCCUUGUGAGCAAGCCGAACCAAAUGUUUUAAGUUCGCUGUCCUGUUGCUCUGUUCGUCUGGAAUGAAGUGUUCAGGCAGCAACUUGAUGCCCGAAUUUGAACCAGAUGGGUGCCGAAUUUGGGAAUGACUUCUUCUGUGAUGUUUUAGUACUAUGAAUGUAUUUUCCAACGGCGUAAGCCAUGCUCAAUUUCGAGCUAUAUUGACUGAGUUGUGACUGAAACAAGUGGACUGCUCUGUUUUGGAAAACCCUAAUGUUGGGACUGGUUUGGAACCAAAUCUUGGAAUGAACUUGUUAGUUGAUGUUUUUGAUAUUAAACACUUACCAAAGAUAUUAUGGGUGUAUCUUAGACCCUUAUUUCACAAAUGAACCAUGGUUGGAUAACUUUCUUGGUUAGACGAUUGGAAAUUGGAAAUGAAAGUCAAAGGCAGAUUGCCUUAUAAUUUUCCUGAACUUUGGUUGACUAAUUAACUAUCUUACCGAAAGUAUUUUUCCCUGAAAUUUGAUAGAGUGGUACCUUUCAUAUGGGAGUAAAAUACUGCCAAUUUUGGUACCAAUCCAAGUUCGUUUCGAUACCGAAUUAAAUUUCUAGUGUUGGAGGUUCAAAACUGGAAAUUCUUCUUCAGUCUUGAAUCUUCCUCAACUUGGGGCUACUAUAUCUUGGUGCUCGAAACUCCAUUUCUCAAUCCGCUUGUAUUGUUAUACUCUUGGAUUGUAACACUAUUUGAUUUCCAAAUUUCAAAGGUUAGUUCAAAACAAGUGAAUUUUACUGAAUUUCCAAAAUUGGCCAAAAACCAACCUUGAAACUGUCUUAGUAUUCUACAGCUGUAACUUUGAUCCAACUUUUGAAUACCUUCCAUUUGGAAUCAUGGGAAAGUGUCUUCUAGAAACUUGUAGUACUCGGAAUGUAGUUUCCAAUGGUAUCAAGCUUUCCAAUUUUGGACCUACGUAGUGCAAGAUACGAUUUUUCUAGAAUUGACACCCAAAGCUAAAAUUUGACAAUUUCUUAGAAAUGAGAUUUUGGAAACUUGCCUUCUUUUCUCGAUACCGAUUGAACAUUUUUAACUCGAUUUCAUGAAAAAUGUUAGUCUCUUUCUUUAGACUUUAAAACUUUACUCUUGAGCCUCGAUUAUUAAUAAUUAAGGCCCAAUUCAUGAAUUCCCUUUAGAUUGUACAACCUUCUUUGAUAAGUAGGAGUUCUAAGUGAUAGUGUAUAAUAGUUAAUGGUUGUUUACUCAGGCACUCGAGGGAAUCUCCAAGGGGAACUCGGAGCGGACACCUAAAACGCUUGUUUGAAAACUACUCGCUUGUUUUGACUAGGUGAGUGUUCCAUAUAGGAAUACGUAAUUGAAUAAGUCUAGGACACGCUUAUUUCAUGAUUAUUAAGUGCUAUGUGUUAAGUAUUUACCAUACUCAUGCCUAUUUAAGGAAUGUAUACUUGCAUUGUAUAUCUACAUGAAUUGGUUAAAUCAUUAACCAUAUCAAAUGACCAUAUGAACUCGAUACAUGCUUAACUUGCUAGAUUGUUUACUUAGUCUACUUGGUUUUGAAAAAUGGAGUCGAGUGUGUACUUUAUCGCACUCGUUCUCUUUUGAGAUGAAUAAUUCAUGCUUGAAAAUACUCGAAUAACAUGACUUGGUAUGCUAAGGUUGCAUACGUCGUUGGAGUGAAUCUCCUCGACUCUCACGUGGUAAAAAUGGGAUAACGGCCAAUGAUGGCCUAUGCAUAUGACCAAUGCUUGUCAAUUAACCGUCAACCGUGAACAGUUAACCGUUAACCGUGAACCGUUUACCAACCCACAUGACUACCUGAUUACCUGACUAUUUGCUCAUAUGAUUUCUAAUCUAUAUGAUUAUUCGAUAUCCGUGAAUUAUAUGCUCCCAUGAAAUCAACUUGUAUUGCUUACGUGCUUACGUGCUAAGUAUCCACUUGAUCACUUGAUUAUCAUGAAUCACAUGUUAUAUGAAUGUUGACCUUGGUCGAUCAAUCAUUGGUUUUGAUGAUUAACAAACCAAUAUGUAGAUUUGGGUUAAUGUUUUUAUGUGAGUAAUUUGUUAGAACAGAUUCUUGUGGCAUAAAAGAAGAAGCAAAAACAGCAGGCACUCAUGUCGGACGCUAUCGGACGUCCGAAAGGAUGAAGAACAUCAAGAAGGAAACUCUGUCGGACGCUCGUGAGGAAGCAUCGGACGUUCGGAAGGAUCGGACGCACGCAUCGGACGCACAUCGAUCGCAUCGGACGUCCGAGAAAUUUCGCAAAGAUUUGAUGACUCUCUGACGACGUUCGGACGUAGGGUUCGGACGUCCGACAGGUGGUUUGGAUGCAGGGUUCGGACGUCCGACAGGUGGUUCGGACGUCCGACAGGCCAACGGCUAGUUUUGACAGCAUUUAAUAUUUGACCGUUAGAGAGCCUUUUGAAGCCAUUUCUCACCUUCUAUAAAUACCCCAAAGCACAAGAAGACAAAUGACUUUUGCCAACACAAAAUACAAGCUUACAAGUGAGAUUUUUGAGUAGAAAGAUUCUUUGUUGGUUGUAUAAGGGGUUGGGGAAGUUGGGUUGUGAGGUUGCUCAAGUGAAGGUUUCUCUCUAGGAGAAGUAAAACCUUGGUGAAGGUGAACCUAUCACUUGAAGUGGUAAAACCUUGGUGAAGGUUGCCUCAUUUGUAUAAAAUAGUUCUUAAUUGGGUGAGUGAUCUUUCAAGUGUAGGUUGUUGAGGGUUAACUAGAAUAGUUGUAAAACUCCUUGGCUCAACCAAAGUGUGUUUGGGGUGAGGAAGGAGUGAGCCUUCACUUGUACAUCUUGGUUAGCAUCGCCAUCAAUUGAAGAGGCUAUUGGUUUGAUAUUUGGUUUGCAUUUCUUAUCCUUUCUCUUUAAUUAAGUUUUCUUUAUUGUGCUUAAAUUUGAUAUAUCUUUGUGCAUCAUUGUGAAUUUGUUUGUACUCAUUGGGUUGCACCGGGCACUUACAAUUGGUAUCAGAGCUUGGUCUCUUUUGAUCAAGCUUAACCGCUUAGAGUAAAGAUCAUGGCAACCAUAAAAGUUUCUUUUUUAGAAGGGCAAUCUAUUGAUAGACCACCUAUGUUUAAUGGUUCUCAUUUUAGCAUGUGGAAACAAAGAAUGAUGAUUUUCUUACAAUCCGUUUAUAUUGAAUUAUGGUAUGUGGUAGAAGAUGGUCCUUAUGAAGUUAGAAUAGUUGACUCUACCACCAAUUUGAGUAGAUUAAAGACUAGACAAGAAUUGAAUGAAAAAGACAAGAGAUACCUUUCUUUGAAUGCCAAGGCCAUGUGUAUAUUGUACAAUGCAUUAGAUGUAAAUGAAUCUAGUAGGAUUAAAGGUUGUAAAUCAGCUAAAGAUAUUUGGGAUAAAUUGUGUGUAUUUCAUGAAGGUAACCAAGAUAUUAAAGAACAAAAGAAAUCUUUGCUUGUUUCUCAAUAUGAAUUUUUCAAAAUGCAUCCUCUUGAAAAUGUUGAUAAGAUGUGUAGUAGAUUUUGUGACAUUAUUGAAGAUCUUAAAUUGCUUGGAAAAGAAUAUUCUUUGGGUGAGAAAAAUAGAAAGAUUUUGAAUGCCUUGCCAAAAGAAUGGGAAAACAAAAUAAAUGCUAUAGAAGAGGCAAAGGAUUUAAAUUCUAUGUCCAUUGAAUCUCUUGUGGAUACCCUAACCUCUUAUGAAUUAAAGCUGAAAUUCAAAGUGCAAGAGGAAGAAAAUGCAAGAAUGUAUAAGAGAGGCAUAGCUUUUAAAGCAUCUCAAGUGGGGAUAACCCAUCCUUCAUGGGUAAUGAAAUCAUGGAAGUGGAUAAUGAUAUAACUCCUCACAUCAAAAGUUUCAAGAAGAUCUUCAACAAGAGAUGUUCAAGAGGAGAUUGCAAAAUUACAUGGGAUGAAUGCAAUUCAAAAAGAGAAAAAGAAGAGUUGGCCCAAAUGGCACUAAUGGCCGUUGGAGAAGAUGAGGUAAGUUCUUAUCACUCUUCUUGUGAUGAAGAUAAUGAAGAUGAUGUGAAAAUUCUUAUGAUUAAAAUGCAUAAAAGUUUGAGAAAAUCUUAUGCUAAAAAUAAAGAUUUGAAAACAAAAAUAAAUGAUUUGUUGGAAGAAAAUUCCAAACUUUUUCAAGAAAAUAAAUGUUUGAGAAUGAAAAAUGAUGAUUUAAAAAAUCAAAAAAGUGUUUUUGAUUGCAAAAAUAAUUUGAAAAGGAAGUUGGAAGAGAAAACAAAGUUUUAUGAAAAAAUGUUGGAGGAACAAAAAUUGUUAAAGAAAAGAAUUAAUGACUUGAACGAGUUUCUCCAAAAUGAAAAACAAAAGUUUUCUCAAACAAAAGAAAGCAAAUCUUUUCAAGGCAUAAAUAAGUUUGCUAUGAUAAGAAGUAAGAAAAUUAGUUGCAUUAAAUCCACCUAUGUGCAAAAUACUUCUAUCAUGUGUCACUUUUGUUGCCAAUUUGGACAUAUGCAAAAUGAUUGCUAUGUAAAGAAAAAUAUGAGAAAAGGUAUUAAAUCCAUGUGGAUUGCUAGAUCAUGUUGUAAUAACUCCCAAGGACCCUAUUAUGGUCUUGACUUGAAAAAUAAAGGGGAAGUUGGCUUUUUGAUUGAUGCCAAAAGGGGGAGUAGGACUUAUUGAAGUUUCUUUGUAUGUUGGCAUUUUCUAAGGGGGAGUUUUAUUUGAACAUGUUGGCAUUUUCUAAGGGGAGUUUUAUUUGAACUUAUUUGAUAAAAGAAAUCUUCAUUUUGUUUGUCAUCAUCAAAAAGGGGGAGAUUGUUGACCUUGGUCGAUCAAUCCUUGGUUUUGAUGAUUAACAAACCAAUAUGUAGAUUUGGGUUAAUGUUUUUAUGUGAGUAAUUUGUUAGAACAGAUUCUUGUGGCAUAAAAGAAGAAGCAAAAACAGGGCACUCAUGUCGGACGCUAUCGGACGUCCGAAAGGAUGAAGAACAUCAAGAAGGAAACUCUGUCGGACGCUCGUGAGGAAGCAUCGGACGUCCGGAAGGAUCGGACGCACGCAUCGGACGCACAUCGAUCGCAUCGGACGUCCGAGAAAUUUCGCAAAGAUUUGAUGACUCUCUGACGACGUUCGGACGCAGGGUUCGGACGUCCGACAGGUGGUUUGGAUGCAGGGUUCGGACGUCCGACAGGUGGUUCGGACGUCCGACAGGCCAACGGCUAGUUUUGACAGCAUUUAAUAUUUGACCGUUAGAGAGCCUUUUGAAGCCAUUUCUCACCUUCUAUAAAUACCCCAAAGCACAAGAAGACAAAUGACUUUUGCCAACACAAAAUACAAGCUUACAAGUGAGAUUUUUGAGUAGAAAGAUUCUUUGUUGGUUGUAUAAGGGGUUGGGGAAGUUGGGUUGUGAGGUUGCUCAAGUGAAGGUUUCUCUCUAGGAGAAGUAAAACCUUGGUGAAGGUGAACCUAUCACUUGAAGUGGUAAAACCUUGGUGAAGGUUGCCUCAUUUGUAUAAAAUAGUUCUUAAUUGGGUGAGUGAUCUUUCAAGUGUAGGUUGUUGAGGGUUAACUAGAAUAGUUGUAAAACUCCUUGGCUCAACCAAAGUGUGUUUGGGGUGAGGAAGGAGUGAGCCUUCACUGUACAUCUUGGUUAGCAUCGCCAUCAAUUGAAGAGGCUAUUGGUUUGAUAUUUGGUUGCAUUUCUUAUCCUUUCUCUUUAAUUAAGUUUUCUUUAUUGUGCUUAAAUUUGAUAUAUCUUUGUGCAUCAUUGUGAAUUUGUUUGUACUCAUUGGGUUGCACCGGGCACUUACAAUGAAGUUUCCAUCAUUGUUAGGCGAGUGUGUACUUUAUCUCACUCGACCUACUCAAAUGAUGAAUUUUACCUUUUGUCGAUUACUUGAUUACUUGUGCAUGUUGUAAGCUCUAAGCUGAACUUGGGCCCUGCCUCGGUUACUGACCUACUCGAGCCAGGACUGGGCGUCGGUCGGGUAGGUUGGAACCCUGGACAACCGUUUCGGUAUACUCGAGUAUUACCACUGGAGGGAUAAGGUGAUGGCCAGUCAAACCGAGGGGAUCCGGAAGUCAUAAGGUGCAGAUGACCGACAGAGUUCCACUGGAACACCGUUAUCCUACAGUAUAUGUUUACCUUGUAUCAUAAUAAUUGUUUCGUGCUAAAAUGCCAACAUGAAAUCCUGAGCUAUGCCUGUAAUAAGCUCCAAUCACUCGUGAACUAUACAUGCCAAUGUCUCAUACCAUGCAUAAAUGUCUCAAAUUACCGUACAAAGAUUAUCACCUCAUGAUAACAUGCCAUUGUGUAACCUUGAACCAUGCAUAUGAUAUGCCCAACUUACUUGAUUUAUUUGAACCGUUAGAGUGUCUUGGAACCUCACUGGGCUGUGUAGCUCAUUCCACGUUGUGGUUUUCUUUUACAGGGUUCGAGACCAAGGGUACUCGUGAGUAGUACUAGAAUGUUUUCUUUUGAAGACUUUAAGUUAUUAUUAUAACGGAUGGCUAUUGUACCAUUUUCCGUUGGGUUGUAUUUAAGCUUGAAAGCUACUUAGUUGUAAGUGUGAGAUAUUUGAAGUACCUUAAUUGUGUAUUGAAGUUAAUUAAAGUAUUUCGAGCUCUUGAAUGAUGGAUUGUAGUGAGUCCUGGCGAGAGCUGGGCAGGCGUCCCGCGGAUACCUUUGGUUCGCCUUUGGGAGAAGUGGGGGCGUCACACUUGUGCCUAGCUAGCAAUGUAAUAGUUAGGGCCUUAAUCACCUUAUGUGUCUUGCAUGUCUAUGUGCUAUAUGUUUAAUCGUUUUCUUAUGGUUUUGGCAUUUAGAUAUUGCAUGCUAAGUGUUAUGUGCUAUGUGAUUGACAUGUCUACUCGCUUUCCAUAUCCUUGAAUGAAUGUGAUGGAUGAAUGUACGUUUCCGCUAGUCCAACGCUAGUGGAGGCGAAUUCAUAGAUAGGGCUAGUCCAAUGCUAAGACCCUUAGGGAUUUCCCCUCGUUUAGUACAUGUUUGCAUGUUCAUUACAUGUCAUGCAUUCUUUUUUAGUUUUAUCAUUUUGCAUGCCCCUCGAACCCCUUUUCCCUCCAUUUUAGGAUUUUUUGCAUUUCAUGCUAGCUAUAGGGUUCAUUUGCUUGAGAGUCCCCUUAAAUAUGGGAUAUAGACGAGUGUGGCUUUUUCUAAGCCUUAGCACGCUUGUAUUCCCUCUAUAAAAGGGCAAAUUGAGUCACGAUUUAGGUCUCCCCGUACCCAAUAUACAUGAAUUCCCUAGGUUCAUGCAUCCACUCUACCAUUUUCUACCUUCAUCACACUUUCAUUUUUUUCCUCCCAUUUCGCACACGUGCACCUUUUAUAUUUUCACUUGCACACGAACAUUUUUAUCAUCACUUGCACACAUGCACUUUAUAUUUAUCAUUUCACAUACCGUACCUUGCCCACUCACGUGCACAUUUUCAUUCACAUAUUUAUUGUCUUUUAUUAUUUUUUCAAACUCAUGUCCUCACAUUGCAUACAUGCAUUCCAUUCAUUUGCAUCCCACUCGCAUUAUUCGUGACUUCUUCAAAGGAUCGUUAUUGGGCUUCACAAUUAAUGUGAUUGGCACCACUCAACCUUUGAAGGGAAAUUUCCCUAGUACCCCUAGGUCUAGGGUUUGCAUUCAUGUAGUGCAUCCAAAUGUAAUAAAUUCUUUGAUUAAAACAAGAAAAUCUUUGAUUAAAUCAUGCAACUAGCCUUGGCUAGGUCAAAGGGGUGCCUUGGAUUUUAUCCUUGCCUUCCCUUUGUCAAAUGUGACUCCCGAACCUUUUUCUUUGGUUUACGUGGAUUAGGAGUCGUUUAAAAGGGGUUUCUUACUACUUUUUCCUAUUUUUCUUCAAAAUCCAUUUUUAGGUGACUUGGUACACCUUAACUCAUUACCAAGUGGCGACUCCGUAUUUUGUUUCAAAAAACCCUUUUUAAACUAUAAUUUUGGGUCAAAUCGUCGCAUUCUCAAACCCCCAUUUAGACCCAUUUUUUCUCACAAUUCAUUUUCCAAUCACAAAUUGAAUCAAAAAUACAUUUUUUUAAAACCAUUUAUUUUAUUUAUCAAAAAAAUGGGGCGCGACACCAUGUAAUUUUGCAAUCUCCUCUUGAACAUCUCUUGUUGAAGAUCUUCUUGAAACUUUUGAUGUGAGGAGUUAUAUCAUUGUCCACUUCCAUGAUUUCAUUACCCAUGAAGGAUGGGUUAUCCCCCACUUGAGAUGCUUUAAAAGCUAUGCCUCUCUUAUACAUUCUUGCAUUUUCUUCCUCUUGCACUUUGAAUUUCAGCUUUAAUUCAUAAGAGGUUAGGGUAUCCACAAGAGAUUCAAUGGACAUAGAAUUUAAAUCCUUUGCCUCUUCUAUAGCAUUUAUUUUGUUUUCCCAUUCUUUUGGCAAGGCAUUCAAAAUCUUUCUAUUUUUCUCACCCAAAGAAUAUUCUUUUCCAAGCAAUUUAAGAUCUUCAAUAAUGUCACAAAAUCUACUACACAUCUUAUCAACAUUUUCAAGAGGAUGCAUUUUGAAAAAUUCAUAUUGAGAAACAAGCAAAGAUUUCUUUUGUUCUUUAAUAUCUUGGUUACCUUCAUGAAAUACACACAAUUUAUCCCAAAUAUCUGUAGCUGAUUUACAACCUUUAAUCCUACUAGAUUCAUUUACAUCUAAUGCAUUGUACAAUAUACACAUGGCCUUGGCAUUCAAAGAAAGGUAUCUCUUGUCUUUUUCAUUCAAUUCUUGUCUAGUCUUUAAUCUACUCAAAUUGGUGGUAGAGUCAACUAUUCUAGCUUCAUAAGGACCAUCUUCUACCACAUACCAUAAUUCAAUAUAAACGGAUUGUAAGAAAAUCAUCAUUCUUUGUUUCCACAUGCUAAAAUGAGAACCAUUAAACAUAGGUGGUCUAUCAAUAGAUUGCCCUUCUAAAAAGGAAACUUUUAUGGUUGCCAUAAUCUUUACUCUAAGCGGUUAAGCUAGAUCAAAAGAGACCAAGCUCUGAUACCAGUUUUGAAGCCAUUUUUACUUCAUUUGAUUAGCAUCGCGAGGGAGGUAUAACUUCUUUUAUCUUUUUUGUCUCUCCUAUGUGCUCCAACGUGCUAAGUGAGAAUUGCAUGUCUACUUUGCUUUCCUUGCUUUUCCUUAAUACCUUUCAUUUGUUUCAUUUACUUUUGCUUUUUUAUUAAGUCUCUCUUUUAUUUAUUUAUGGGGUAUGUGUACACCUCUUGGCUUGUAAUAGAUAGGGCUUGGCAAGCAUUUUGUCCAUUUUUCCCCUUCCCCUUUUGUUUUAGUUAGCAAAUGUAAUAGGUUCAUUAGAUUGAUUGCUUGCUUUUGUUGCUACGUGUUAAUUUGCUUUAUUAGGUUCUUGCAUCUAGUCGAGCAUGCUAAGUGUUAUGUGCUACAUGUUUAUAGAUGAUUUGCAUGUCUACUUGCUUUCUAUAGUCGUGGAUGAAUGUAAUGGAUGAAUGGACGUCACCACACUAGUCCAAUGCUAGUUGUGGCCCCCUUUCCCGAAUGCACACUAGCCCAAUGCUAGUUGUAGCUCAUUGUUCCGAUUUCCACUAGUCCAACGCUAGUAGGAAUUCAUAGAUGGGCUAGUCCAACGCUAGACCCUUAGGGAUUCCCCUCGCUAGUUCAUAUUUGCAUGUUUCACUACAUUUCAUGCAUUUUUCUUAGUUUUUAGCAUUUGGCAUGCCCCUCCAACCUUUUCCCCCUCAUUUUAGGCUUUUGCAUUCUCAUGCUAGUUAUAGGGUCCAUUUGCUUGAGAGUUCCCUUUCGAUAAGGGAAACGAGCGAGUGUGGCUACCCAAUAGCCUUAGCACGCUAGUUUUUCCUUCCAAUCCAUGGGAAAAUCAAAGUCGUAAAGUUAGGAGUCCUUCCCGUGCCCGACCUGAUGCAUUCCCUUAAGGUCAUACACUUGCAUUCUUUUUAUACCACAUCCACACUCUUUUAGCCACAUUUUCUCACUAUUUAGAGUUUUUCUCAAUCUACACUUUCUCACCACUUUCCUCCUAUCACUUAUUUAUUUUUCUAUCUCACAAGUGGCACCCAAUUGCACUUAUAUGUAUCUACUAUCCUAUUUUCAUUCAUUUGCACACAAAAACACCUUUAUUUUCUCACACUUGCACACUUGCACUUAAGUCCUCACUUGCACUAAUCACGACUUCCUUGAGAGCUUUCCUUAUUGGCCACCACAAUUCAUGUGGUUGGGACCUAAAAGCCUCAUGAGAAACAUUUUAGAUUUAGGAUUGCAUUUUUUUUUCAUACCCAUUAGUCAUAUCCAACAUGCGAAACAUACUUUGGGUAGAAGAAUUAGGAAAAGUGGGGCUAAAUCACGCAACUAGCUCUUGCUAGGGUAAGGGAGUGCCUUAGGCUUUGCCUUUGCCUUCUCCCUUACCAAAUGUAACCCCGAUCCCUUUCUUUGGUUACGUAGACCUAAAAGUUCUUGAAAAGGGCUUUGUUUACUUUGCUUCCAAAAAAUCACUUUUUUGGGUGACUUGGUACACCCUAACUCUAUACCAAGUGGCGACUCCAUUUUUCAUUCAAAACCCUUUUUGAACUUCGUUUGGCCAAAUCGUCGCAUCUUCAAGUCCCAUGGCCUUCUAUUUUCAUUUUACACACGUUCACAUACAUAUUCCACACACUUUCACACUACACUCAUCAAAAAGUGGGGCGCGACAGUUGGCGACUCCACUGGGGACUUCCUAAGUGGGUCCAAGCAUUCGAUUUAGCUAUUCUUUUCCUUUUUCUACCCUUUUUAUGUAUGGCAUUUGGAUAUUAGGGUUGCAUUUUCCAUUUUAGGACUUUUUGCCACGCGCGCGCGUAUCAAGCUAUUCCCUCACUCACGUAUGUAUGAUUGGUUUGAUUGGAUGUAUGUUGUACUUGUUUUAUCUCGCGCUUUGCAUUGCAUUUGGGUGGGGGAGAUCACCUUAGAGCCUCACGUUGGUUCUCGAUCCCUCCCCUCCAAACGAGCACUAGCAUACGUGCAUAUGCUUUAUUUUUAUCCCUCAUUUAUUUUUCUUUUAGUGGCUUGUCACGCCACUCCACCCUAUUGGGAUUAGGUGACCCACUUGGACAUGUGAUCGUGACACGACGUGUGCGUAGCAUGAUCCGAGGAGUCACUCAAUCUUCCGCUUUAAACUUUGGGUUAAUAGCCUUUAGUUUUUAGUCGAAGGUUGAGGAUUUCUUUAGAUUCACCUGGACAUGUAGCCGUGACACGACGUGUGCGUAGCAAUGUCUGGGAAAUCGCUCGAGCCACCGACAAAGAACCUUGGAAUUGAUGACCCUUGGUUUCUAAGUCUGAAGGCUCGGGGACCUGAGCUUAUCGAGUCUAGAUGCACUAGCGAACCCCAACCUCAUGCUUCCAUAUUAGAAUUGCCUAGGGUAGAGUCGACCUUACACUAAAUUAGGAAACACUAUUCACGAGGGGAGGGAUCCAGCCCCCUUCCUUGUAUAUCUUUGUUGCUUUUUAUAUUAUCUAAAUUGUCCAACGUGUUAUGUGGUUAUGUGUUGAACUAACUUUCCUUGUCUCUUGUUUUUUGCAUUCACAAACGUUAGGAAAUAAGAGGUCUGGCACGAUCCUCUUUUAGUGACCUACCCACUAGAUAACUCACAUGUUUAAAUUUCAGUCAUUACACUUAAUUUUCAAUAAGUACAUUUCAUUUUUAGACCUUUUCCCCUCGAUGCAUUAUUUAUGUCCUUUAGGCCAUAUUUGUCACAUAUUUACUGCUUUAAUAAACUGGCAUCAUGCAUAAACCCUAGAAAGGGAAUGCCAUUUAGGGGAUCCCGUGUUAGGAAUAAACCACCUUGUGUCUCGGAUACUUAAUCCAAGGAGACUUGCACGUUUACAUUUUGUACCAUCCAAAGGGGUAGUGCACAAGGUAAGGUAGGAUCUGAUCAUUUUCAUAGAGCGAUUUUUGGAAUUUGAGCAUCUAAUAAUCAUGUUUUUGGCCAUUUUAUCAAAAAUUGGUAAAAAUCCCUUGCGUAAAGGACAUUAAUUUGAAAAAAUUCACAAAUAAUUCCUCACUAUUGAGACAAUAAGUGAAUUGAGCCAAAAUUUGAUUUUUAGAAGGCUCAUAGACUAAUGCAUCUCAAUAAUUUUGAAUUCACCAAUGGUUGGACAAUUCAAUCGAUCCAUUUUGCCAAUUCAUUCACUUUAAGGCAAUUCGAGCAAUUUUGAAUAAAUCAUCAAUUUCAUUCAAUUCUUUUGACUAAUUUGCCUUUUUUAGGGCAAUCAAGUCAUUCUUUUAAUAAAUCAUCGAUUUCAUUCAAAUCAUUUGGCCAGCUUACCCUUUUUAGGGUGAUCUAGUCAAUUUCGAAUAAAUUAUCAAAUUCCCAUUCAAUGCGUUUGAUCAGUUACCCUUUUUUAGGGUGAUCCGGUCGAUUUUGAAUAAAAUUCUCAAUCUCAUUCAAUUCAUUUGAUCAAGUUCCUUUUUUAGGAUGAUCCGAUCCAUUUUGAAUAAAAUUUUCAAUUUCAUUCGAUUAAGUUCCUUUUUUUAGGAUGAUUCGGUCAAUUUUGAGUAAGCUUUUAAAUUUCACUCAGUUCAUUUGACCCGUUUCCCUUUUUAGGGUAAUCCGGUCGAUUUUAAAUAAAUUGUCAAUUUCAUUCAACCCAUUCGACCAAUUAGGGUUUCAAUGCCGAAUUUCAAAUUGGGAAACUUAGUCGAUUUUUGAGAAAACCAUCCAUUGCAUCCAGCCAUUUGAUCAGUUGGGGUUUUGACCCGUGCUUCACUGAAAAAAUUUGGUCAACGAAUUCCAAUCUCUUCGAUAGGAAGUUCGUCAAGGUCAAACCCGUGCGUUUUUGCAAAUUCUUGUAUCGAUCAAAAGUGAUCAAUCCAUUCGGACGUUGACCUCAUUUUGACAAGUAUCUCUCGUCACUCCAAUUGACCAAAUUUUUCAAAAUUAUUUUUCACUCAACGAUUUGAUCAGAUCCAUCAGGUAUGGUAUAGUGCCUACCCUAGAGGAUUGCAUUUUCA
RNAcentral lists this long non-coding RNA (34421 nucleotides) under Coffea arabica (coffee). RNAcentral's name for it is "long non-coding RNA (CARA_LNC005625)". The record is from RNAcentral. Lineage: Eukaryota; Viridiplantae; Streptophyta; Magnoliopsida; Gentianales; Rubiaceae.